RNAcentral lists this ribosomal RNA (496 nucleotides) under uncultured bacterium. Its description in RNAcentral is "partial 16S ribosomal RNA". It matches the Rfam family "Bacterial small subunit ribosomal RNA", at positions 28 to 506 of the family's 1533-position model. The record is from RNAcentral.
GAUGAACGCUGGCGGCGUGCCUAAUACAUGCAAGUCGAGCGAACAGACGAGGAGCUUGCUCCUCUGACGUUAGCGGCGGACGGGUGAGUAACACGUGGAUAACCUACCUAUAAGACUGGGAUAACUUCGGGAAACCGGAGCUAAUACCGGAUAAUAUAUUGAACCGCAUGGUUCAAUAGUGAAAGACGGUUUUGCUGUCACUUAUAGAUGGAUCCGCGCCGCAUUAGCUAGUUGGUAAGGUAACGGCUUACCAAGGCAACGAUGCGUAGCCGACCUGAGAGGUUGAUCGGCCACACUGGAACUGAGACACGGUCCAGACUCCUACGGGAGGCAGCAGUAGGGAAUCUUCCGCAAUGGGCGAAAGCCUGACGGCGCAACGCCGCGUGAGUGAUGAAGGUCUUCGGAUCGUAAAACUCUGUUAUUAGGGAAGAACAAAUGUGUAAGUAACUAUGCACGUCUUGACGGUACCUAAUCAGAAAGCGACGGCUAACUACGU